CGGAGUGUAGCGCAGACGGGUAGCGCGUCUGGUUUGGGACCAGAGGGUCGCGGGUCCAAGUCCGGCCACUCCGACCA
Molecule: transfer RNA, 77 nt
Filed under: Burkholderia cepacia
Lineage: Bacteria; Pseudomonadati; Pseudomonadota; Betaproteobacteria; Burkholderiales; Burkholderiaceae
Also listed under: 1 other name
Description: tRNA-Pro
Rfam family: tRNA
About the family: Transfer RNA (tRNA) molecules are approximately 80 nucleotides in length. Their secondary structure includes four short double-helical elements and three loops (D, anti-codon, and T loops).
Source: RNAcentral